GUCCCUGUAGCGCAAUAGAUAGCGCGUUGGAAAAUUAGUCCAAAAGUCGUGGGUUUGAAUCCUACCUGGGACA
Molecule: non-coding RNA, 73 nt
Organism: Trichonephila clavata
Lineage: Eukaryota; Metazoa; Arthropoda; Arachnida; Araneae; Nephilidae
Source: the annotation of a GenBank genome assembly